AGGGAAUCUUGCGCAAUGGGCGAAAGCCUGACGCAGCCAUGCCGCGUGAAUGAUGAAGGUCUUAGGAUUGUAAAAUUCUUUCACCGGGGACGAUAAUGACGGUACCCGGAGAAGAAGCCCCGGCUAACUUCGUGCCAGCAGCCGCGGUAAUACGAAGGGGGCUAGCGUUGCUCGGAAUUACUGGGCGUAAAGGGCGCGUAGGCGGAUAGUUUAGUCAGAGGUGAAAGCCCAGGGCUCAACCUUGGAACUGCCUUUGAUACUGGCUAUCUUGAGUACGGGAGAGGUGUGUGGAACUCCGAGUGUAGAGGUGAAAUUCGUAGAUAUUCGGAAGAACACCGGUGGCGAAGGCGACACACUGGCCCGUUACUGACGCUGAGGCGCGAAAGCGUGGGGAGCAAACAGGA
RNAcentral lists this ribosomal RNA (404 nucleotides) under uncultured Phenylobacterium sp. Its description in RNAcentral is "bacterial SSU rRNA". It matches the Rfam family "Bacterial small subunit ribosomal RNA", at positions 356 to 777 of the family's 1533-position model. Lineage: Bacteria; Pseudomonadati; Pseudomonadota; Alphaproteobacteria; Caulobacterales; Caulobacteraceae. The record is from RNAcentral.